UGGACAAUUAUUGUAUUCGACUGUAUUCACGGCGUAGAAUAGGGGAUUACAACUGUUUUUAAAAAGAAAGUGAAUCAAUUAACAUAACUCCU
Molecule: microRNA precursor, 92 nt
Filed under: Nicotiana attenuata
Lineage: Eukaryota; Viridiplantae; Streptophyta; Magnoliopsida; Solanales; Solanaceae
Description: MIR6152 microRNA precursor family
Rfam family: MIR6152 microRNA precursor family
Source: Rfam by way of RNAcentral